GAUGAACGCUGGCGGCGUGCCUAAUACAUGCAAGUCGAGCGAACAGACGAGGAGCUUGCUCCUCUGACGUUAGCGGCGGACGGGUGAGUAACACGUGGAUAACCUACCUAUAAGACUGGGAUAACUUCGGGAAACCGGAGCUAAUACCGGAUAAUAUAUUGAACCGCAUGGUUCAAUAGUGAAAGACGGUUUUGCUGUCACUUAUAGAUGGAUCCGCGCCGCAUUAGCUAGUUGGUAAGGUAACGGCUUACCAAGGCAACGAUGCGUAGCCGACCUGAGAGGGUGAUCGGCCACACUUGAACUGAGACACGGUCCCGACUCCUACGGGAGGCAGCAGUAGGGAAUCCUCCGCAAUGGGCGAAAGCCUGACGGAGCAACGCCGCGUGAGUGAUGAAGGUCUUCGGAUCGUAAAACUCUGUUAUUAGGGAAGAACAAAUGUGUAAGUAACUAUGCACGUCUUGACGGUACCUAAUCAGAAAGCCACGGCUAACUACGUG
RNAcentral lists this ribosomal RNA (497 nucleotides) under uncultured bacterium. RNAcentral describes it as "partial 16S ribosomal RNA". It matches the Rfam family "Bacterial small subunit ribosomal RNA", at positions 28 to 507 of the family's 1533-position model. The record is from RNAcentral.